GCGGUUGUGAUGAAAUUGGUAACCAUGUACGCUUGAGGGGCGUAUGGCUUUAGGCCUUACGAGUUCGAGUCUCGUCAUCCGCA
Molecule: transfer RNA, 83 nt
Filed under: Galdieria sulphuraria
Lineage: Eukaryota; Rhodophyta; Bangiophyceae; Galdieriales; Galdieriaceae
Description: tRNA-Leu
Rfam family: tRNA
About the family: Transfer RNA (tRNA) molecules are approximately 80 nucleotides in length. Their secondary structure includes four short double-helical elements and three loops (D, anti-codon, and T loops).
Source: RNAcentral